ACGAACGCUGGCGGCGUGCUUAACACAUGCAAGUCGAACGGAAAGGCCCCUUUGGGGGUACUUGAGUGGCGAACGGGUGAGUAACACGUGAGUAACCUGCCCUUGACUUCGGGAUAACUUCAGGAAACUGGGGCUAAUACCGGAUAGGAAUCCUUGCUGCAUGGUGGGGGUUGGAAAGCUUCGGCGGUUUUGGAUGGACCCGCGGCUUAUCAGCUUGUUGGUGGGGUAGUGGCUUACCAAGGCUUUGACGGGUAGCCGGCCUGAGAGGGCGACCGGCCACAUUGGGACUGAGAUACGGCCCAGACUCCUACGGGAGGCAGCAGUGGGGAAUAUUGCACAAUGGGCGGAAGCCUGAUGCAGCAACGCCGCGUGCGGGAUGACGGCCUUCGGGUUGUAAACCGCUUUCAGCAGGGGCGAAGCUUGUGGUGACGGUACCUGCAGAAGAAGCACCGGCUAACUACGUG
Molecule: ribosomal RNA, 464 nt
Filed under: uncultured bacterium
Lineage: Bacteria
Description: partial 16S ribosomal RNA
Rfam family: Bacterial small subunit ribosomal RNA
Source: RNAcentral